RNAcentral lists this ribosomal RNA (447 nucleotides) under uncultured bacterium. Its description in RNAcentral is "partial 16S ribosomal RNA". It matches the Rfam family "Bacterial small subunit ribosomal RNA", at positions 29 to 523 of the family's 1533-position model. The record is from RNAcentral.
AACGAACGCUGGCGGCAGGCUUAACACAUGCAAGUCGAGCGCCCCACAAGGGGAGCGGCAGACGGGUGAGUAACGCGUGGGAAUCUACCUUUUGCUACGGAAUAACUCAGGGAAACUUGUGCUAAUACCGUAUGUGUCCUUCGGGAGAAAGAUUUAUCGGCAAGAGAUGAGCCCGCGUUGGAUUAGCUAGUUGGUGAGGUAAUGGCUCACCAAGGCGACGAUCCAUAGCUGGUCUGAGAGGAUGAUCAGCCACAUUGGGACUGAGACACGGCUCAAACUCCUACGGGAGGCAGCAGUGGGGAAUAUUGGACAAUGGGCGCAAGCCUGAUCCAGCCAUGCCGCGUGAGUGAUGAAGGCCCUAGGGUUGUAAAGCUCUUUCACCGGUGAAGAUAAUGACGGUAACCGGAGAAGAAGCCCCGGCUAACUUCGUGCCAGCAGCCGCGGUAA